RNAcentral lists this ribosomal RNA (695 nucleotides) under Leptolyngbya sp. VL. Its description in RNAcentral is "bacterial SSU rRNA". It matches the Rfam family "Bacterial small subunit ribosomal RNA", at positions 51 to 794 of the family's 1533-position model. The record is from RNAcentral. Lineage: Bacteria; Bacillati; Cyanobacteriota; Cyanophyceae; Leptolyngbyales; Leptolyngbyaceae.
ACACAUGCAAGUCGAACGGUCUCUUCGGAGAUAGUGGCGGACGGGUGAGUAACGCGUGAGAAAUGCCUUUAGAUUGGGGACAACAGUUGGAAACGACUGCUAAUACCGAAUGUGCCUUAGGGUGAAAGAUUUAUUGUCUAGAGAUUGGCUCGCGUCAGAUUAGCUAGUUGGAGUGGUAACGGCACACCAAGGCGACGAUCUGUACUUGGUCUGAGAGGAUGACCAGGCACACUGGAACUGAGACACGGUCCAGACUCCUACGGGAGGCAGCAGUGGGGAAUUUUCCGCAAUGGGCGAAAGCCUGACGGAGCAAUACCGCGUGAGGGAGGACGGCUUUUGGGUUGUAAACCUCUUUUAUCAGGGAAGAAUCGAUGACGGUACCUGAUGAAUCAGCAUCGGCUAACUCCGUGCCAGCAGCCGCGGUAAUACGGAGGAUGCAAGCGUUAUCCGGAAUUAUUGGGCGUAAAGCGUCCGUAGGUGGUUUAUCAAGUCUGCUGUCAAAGCGUGCGGCUUAACCGCAUAAGGGCAGUGGAAACUGAUGAACUAGAGUGCGAUAGGGGUAACAGGAAUUCCCAGUGUAGCGGUGAAAUGCGUAGAUAUUGGGAAGAACACCAGCGGCGAAAGCGUGUUACUGGGUCUGCACUGACACUGAGGGACGAAAGCUAGGGGAGCGAAAGGGAUUAGAUACCCCCAGU